Drosophila pseudoobscura is the source of this 398-nucleotide long non-coding RNA. RefSeq lists it as uncharacterized. The transcript has 2 exons. The record is from RefSeq and is a predicted model, not a curated record. NCBI's taxonomy places the organism in Eukaryota, Metazoa, Arthropoda, Insecta, Diptera, Drosophilidae.
UCUCAUUUGAGAGACUGCCAGUUUUGUUCGCAUUGUCGAACACAACACUAAACAAAUCACAUCAGAAAAAUUCAGAAAAAAAAGAAAAAAACAAUUUUCAAAUUUCAAUGGUCGAAAUUUGGAGGCCUUACCAGUGACGCUGCCCCAUACGAUGGCCGUGACGUCACUCCAACUUCAAGAAGUCAGCAGCCAUCUCCAACGACGAGGCCAGCCGCUACAACGACACUGGCCAACGAGCCAAAGCCAAUACCAUCGACAAUGCAUCCUGGGUGGCCGGACCAACAGCCACUCGGAUGCAACCAAUUCCAAUUAAUAGGAAACCUACUUAAAUUAUAAUGACUUAAUGGUUCUGCCAAAUCUGCCUUUCCGUCUCUACGACCGUGGCAGACGAGCGUAAU